Ailuropoda melanoleuca (giant panda) is the source of this 1541-nucleotide long non-coding RNA. RefSeq lists it as uncharacterized. Lineage: Eukaryota; Metazoa; Chordata; Mammalia; Carnivora; Ursidae. The transcript has 3 exons. The record is from RefSeq and is a predicted model, not a curated record.
GAAAGCUGGUAAACAAAAUUAAAUAUGAGGAGCCGAAUGUCAAGUCCAAAAGACUGUAAUGGCAGCUGGACAGAGAGCGUGGGGGAGAGAGACUUGAACAGCAAGAAAUACACAAGGACAGUGAGAGGAGUUGCUGGAGCAGGUGUAUGGAUCCUCUUUACCAUGACAGAAGAGGGUUCUGUCUGCUUCUGAAGGUAGCUAACCUGAUAUUCGUGAACCUUGUUACAGGCCCCAACUCGGAGAUUAAAACUUGCUUCUUCCUGACUCACCAAUGGAUGAGGCCAAUAAUAGCAGCCACUCCCCUGGCCUGCCGGCUCAAGAGUAUAAAUGGGGCCGCUGGGAAGCUCUAACGCUGCAGGACGUCCAUGGGCAGGAAAGAACGUGAGAGGAACAAACCGAGUGACUUGGACUCAUGUCUACGUGGUGCAGAGAAAUCUGGAUCAUUCAUUCAUUCAUUCCAUGAAGACUCAUCAGCACCUUCGAGAAGCCCUGCACUCUGCUGGGUUUUGGGAAUAAGAAAUGCAACGACCACAGAAAGAAGGAGGAAGCUCUCGCGCAGAGAUGGACACCGGAAUCGGCUCUUCUGCUUAGUGGGAGCAGAAUUCCGAGAUUUCUGGCUAAGUGUAUCAGUUACGACCAUGGCGACGGUCCUAAUGAGAGUAAUAGUAAAUGUAUUAAGCGGUGCGUAUUGAAAGGGCUAGUGACUUCGCAAUGUGCGGAAAAUCAACUCAGCGCCUUGACUGGAACACGCACCCUCAGACAAAGCCCCCGAAGGACACUGCGCUGAAGUGUAGGUUUCUUUCAGUCCGACGGAAGAGGCCCUUGAGAGGCAGAACGCCCGGUUGCUAACUAGUAACUUUAAAGAGUUUUAGAUAAACAUUGCCUUUAAAGAGUUUUAGAUAAAGCAUUGCCUGUUUUUAACCUUUGAGGUGUCCAGGGCUAGUCGAAUUGUUGAAGGACGACGGAGUAAUUCACAGGUUGGUUUUGGCCUCAACUCUUUCCUGCCCAAGGGAAUUUACGAGAAGGGAUGCUGGUGCACGACUGGUCACUAGAUGGCGCUCCAGAUCAAACCACCCUGGGCUGGACGGCUGCCUCUCCGGCGGCCUGCCUGGCACAGUCCUCAGUCAUUAACCUUGGGUUGACAUUGUACUGCCCAGAUUUCAAACCUCAUUCACACACAGUCUUGACAGACAGAAAUGAUUCUUACUUACAAGUGACGCUGACAGUAUUGAGAAUGGUCGAGUAGGGAGGCCAGCUGCCAGGACCUUUGGGGUCAGCCCUCCUCAUAAAGAGAUUCAUUGUCGUGGACCAGAGACCCGCGCUGUUUGAUCCUCUCUCUUCCCCCAACAGUUACUACGGAGAAGAAAUACAGAUGACUAGCUUCGCCCUGCCUACAGCUUAAAGAAGAAAACGCGUAGGAAGAGAAUGGACGGGGGUGCAGAGCGGGGAUCCAGGGAGGAAUGGGCCUAGAAACAAUCUCGGAGAAGCCACGUCAACUGUGUCUUACAUGUGAGCAGCAAAAUAAGCAUAAGAACCCCGAA